GGCAUGGAAUCUGCUGGUAUUCAUGAAACUACUUACAACAGCAUCAUGAAGUGUGACAUUGACAUACGUAAAGAUCUGUAUGCG
This is a non-coding RNA of Podarcis lilfordi (Lilford's wall lizard), 84 nucleotides long. Lineage: Eukaryota; Metazoa; Chordata; Lepidosauria; Squamata; Lacertidae. The record is from the annotation of a GenBank genome assembly.